UUUUUUACUAGGUAAUUGGUAUAAAUACUGUAAAAAAAUCUCUCAAAUCGUCAAAUAAACGGCAAAACAACGGCACCCAAUGAAAAUAAAAACAAAGCGUGUACAAAUUAAUAAAAAAUAAAUAAAAUCUCCGAGCAGCUGUUCUAUAAUUCUAUGAACUACUUCUUGUUGUAAAGUAUCAAACGUGUCAGAUUAAAAUUAUCAUGAUUUCAAUCCUUGUUUCGGUAGGCGAG
RNAcentral lists this long non-coding RNA (233 nucleotides) under Mytilus galloprovincialis (Mediterranean mussel). Lineage: Eukaryota; Metazoa; Mollusca; Bivalvia; Mytilida; Mytilidae. The record is from RNAcentral.